GUGGCUUCCAAAGAACAUUUGCAAACUGGAACAGGUUUGUGGUGUUCGGGAGUCAAAACAUUUGACUCGCAAGGCAUUUGACUUCUGAGGUAUGACUGUAUCUGUAAACAAACACUAAACGUCCAUAAAAAUGGUGAAAAUAGUUUCUUUCCCAAAUUGGUUUUAUCUUAAACAAUAGCAAAUGCAGUAAAUAGAGAGUUCACUUGUAAUAUAUAUAGGCCAAGUUAGUUGUGACAGAUUUAAACCUCAUUGAUUUCAAUGGGCCUUAAGCAUGAGUUUGAUUGGGAUAGCUGAUUGUGAGGGUCCUUUAUUCUACUGAUACUGCUUCAGUUUAGUAUCUGAACAGUACAAGUUAAAACUUGGUAAUUUAAUGAAAUUAGGGGGCCUUUUACACAUCUUUCCUAUAUUGCUUUACUGCCUAUAACAGGGACAAGUGAAUAAGUAUAUUUCUCAUUAAUAUCACUUCAGUAUAUGUUCAAGUCAUGUGUCCAUCUAUAUUAGCCUGCAAAUUUUUCUCUAAAAGUCUGCAGGAAAAUUCACAUUUAAACAUGUAUUUUUUUAAAAGGGCCUUUCUCUCAAAAUGCACAUUUUAAAUGUUAUUUGCUGUCAAAAUAUACAUUUCAAGUACAUGUUGUUGAUGUAUUUAUUUUUUUGGUGGUGUUUGAGCCAAGAGCAGUAUCAGAAGAUUUGGGAACUAAAAAAGCCAUUGGUUAAAUUGGAACUGAACAUUAUUUCAAUACUUGCAAUUCAAAACAAGACCAGUUGACAUCAGAAUUCAGAAUGAAUGGAUUUCUCCAGCAUUCCUAGCCUACUGUAAAUAAAUUGUGAUAUCCUUGCUGCUAACACCUAGAAUCCAGCUUUUGCAGUAGUAUCACAAACCACCCUAAAUAUGCCAGUGCAGGCUAAAUCCUGUACAUCACAAUGGGUAGACAUGAUGGCCUAUUUGCAAGCUGGAAACCAAUGAGGAAAGGUUUAUUACCCCAGUUGAACCUUGAAGGCUGAAGUAGUAGUUCAGACAGGCCCUGCUCUUCAUUAAAGUAGUUUACAUUUAUUAAAAUGACUCAUUAUGCAAAACAACAAGUUGAUCAUACAGUGGUGCUAUUGCCUUAGGCUUAUUUGUUUAUUAUUUUUCUAUUUUAUUGCAUUUAUAUCCCCACCCACUUUUAUCCAAGGAGCUCAAGGGGGUGUACUCAGCCUCUUGGGCUUGCUGAUCAGAAGGUCGGCAGUUCAAAUACCCGCAAUGGGGUGAACUUUCAUUCCUCUGUCCCACUUUCUGCCAACCUAUCAGUUUGAAAGCACACCAGUGCAAGUAGAUAAAUAGGUAUUGCUGCGGCGGGGAGGCAAACACCAUUUCCAUGUGCUCUGGUUUCCAUCACGGUGUUCCGUUGUGCCAGAAGUGGUUUAGUCAUGCUGGGCACAUGACAGGGAAAGCUGUCUGUGGAUAAACCCUGGCUCCCUUGGCCUGAAAAGCGAGAUGAGUGCUGUACCCCAUAGUUGCCUUUGACUGGACUUAACCAUCCAGGGGUCCUUUACCUUUUUUACCUUUUUAACAUAGUUCUAUCUCUUCCUCAUUUAAUCCCCACAACAACCCUGUGAGAUAGGUUAGGCUGAGAGGUAGUGACAGGCCCAACGUUAUCCAGUGAGUUUCAUGGCUGAAUGGGGAUUUGAACCCUCGUCUCCCAGGUUCUAGUCCAACACUCUAACCCAGGCAUAGGCAAACUCCGGCCCUCCAGAUGUUUGGGACUACAAUUCCCAUCAUCCCUAGCUAACAGGACCAAUGGUCAGGGAUGAUGGGAAUUGUAGUCCCAAACAUCUGGAGGGCUGGAGUUUGCCUAUGCCUGCUCUAACCACUAUACUGCACUGACUUAUUUAUACCCACCGCCACCCCCACCAACAACUCUCCACUUCUUCCUUUAACAUUCUGCCGCAUCCGAGUAUUGGAAACAGACAGAGCCCAUUUUUGAUGUGGUUAGAUUCUUUUCAAGGUGUGAAAUUGGUAUGUGCCAACAACAAAGGGAAACAUUUCUUUUAAUAUUACAUUUUCAUUCCACUUGAAACAGUAUUGCUCACUGGCUCAAAGCCAAAAAAACAGAGUGAGAAAUAUUUCAGGGCAUAUGAGUGUAAUAUAUAUAAAAAAAUUAAUCCUGGACUAACAAUGGAUUAAACAAGUGGGACAUCGUUUGUGUUAGAUCACAAGGAAGGGUAUCAAAAAUAGAGGCGAUAGUUUUGAAACAACAACCAGCAGUGAAAAGUUUACUUCUAAUGUAAACCAGACAGUCCAAAAUAAUUUGUGGUUUGUUUAAUUCUUACCGUUCGUCCUGUGUUCUUUUGAGUAAGUUAAACCCAUAUAACAUCCCCAGCUGGUUCUCAUUUUCAUUCUGGAUCUUUAGUAUGCUGAAAACUCUAGGCAGUGUCAGGGAGAGUUGGGGAGGGAGGGAGAGAGUCGUUUUUGUAAAUAGAAGUAAGUGCUUUAUAUGGUAGGUGCAUUUGGGGAAAAACAUGUUAAUAUAUUAGAAUAAAUUACUCUUCUGUCUUUAUCUCCUUAUAUUUGAGCAAACAUCAAUUGCAGGCAGGCCAUGUGAAAAGAAUGCCUUUAAAAUGCAUGGCAAGUGUGCACCCACACAAAACCAUUACUGUAACAAAACCAGCUGUGUGUAAUAGAAAGCAAAUGAUUUAUAGUGUUACUUAAGACACUACUUUAUUUUACAUUAUCAUAAAAAGAACAGAACUGAGAAUUUGCAUGACAAACACAAGGACCCAGCAACUUCCAAAUCAAAUUUAUUUAAUUUUGGGUGUGGGGGUGGGGAGGCGUAUCUGUGCGUUAAUAGGUAUUAAGCUAUGAAGGUGGAUUGUUAAGUAUUAAAACAGUAUUUCCAGGGAGUUUAGUUGCUGGAUGUAAUUCCAACUGAUCUAAUGAAAGGGAGGGAAUAUAAGCAGUCAGUUUGGAAAGACUCUGAGAAUUUAAUUUGGUCUCAUUGAGGUUUAUUUACAGGUCAUAGUUCAUUAGAACCUCAUCAGCUGGAAUCUCUUUCCUGUCUUCUGACGAGAUACAUGGGUAUCUUGAUGGACCAGGUUAAUGGGAGAGAGCUCUGAGCUGCCUAGACUUCCCCCUCUUGAUCCCACCAAGUUCCACCCCUGUCCAUAACUAAAAAUGACACAUCACCGAUAGGUGGUAGUGAACUAGCCCUGCGUAGAAAUAUUAUUAUUAUUAUUAUUAUUAUUAUUAUUAUUAUUAUUAUUAAUUCCCGAGCCACUCUGGGCAGCUUCCAACAAAAUAUUAAAAUACAGUAGUCCAUCAAACAUUAAAAGCUUCCAUAAAUGAAAGGGAUCAUGGGAAUGCAAUCUUUUGUAAGCAAUUACUCCAUUUCCCCUUAAUUCUCGAAUACUGUGAGAUGCCCUCACACUAUAAGGAGACUAGUGGCACUGGUACCUUAUUUGCUUAUUUCUUUCUUGGUUUAUUUUUGGCACUUUAGAUACUGCCUUUUAUCCAUGCCCUCUGGGUGGGUGACAUUUUUUUUAUAAAAAACAAUAAAAUGGGAUUAAAAGUAUAAUAUCAAUAUAAAUACCCACAUGAAGCCAACACUUGUGGCAUAAAAUCAUUCUAAAACAGCAUUCAGUCCUAAGAAAAAUGAUUUGUCUCUUAGAAAGCCUGGAAGGUUAAAAAGGUAUUUUAACUGGGGCAGAAAAUAUUUCAACCUAGGCACCAAGGUAGGUGUGUGUGUGUGUGUGUGUGUGUGAGAGAGAGAGAGAGAGAGAGAGAGAGAGCUCUCAUACACACAUUUCUGCCUUAACAACAAGCCAUCAAGAUUGCUGAACUAGUCAUUUAUAACCUGAAGCUUUUUGGUGUUUGACCUACAACGAGAACAAAAUACAGACGGGGGUCAGAAUGCCUAAAUUUAAAGUACUACAAGGCUGAAGUAAAUCAUAGGACGGACUAUCCAGAACAGUACUAAAAAUAUUGUAGCCUUUUGUUAAUGAUACACAAAGAGUCUGUCUGUCUGAAUUUGGCACUUCAUUCUGAAUAAACAAUAUGUCACAUUGUUACUCCCCCCCUUUCUUUAUAAGAAUAUUUAAAAACAGCCACCCUGUAAAAAAAAUAUAACAGCAUACCAUCAAAUCAUUAAAACAUAGAAUCAUAGAGUUGGAAGAGACCACAAGGGCCAUCGAGUCCAACCCCCUGCCAAGCAGGAAACACCAUCAGAGCACUCCUGACAUAUGGUUGUCAAGCCUCUGCUUAAAGACCUCCAAAGAAGGAGACGCCACCACACUCCUUGGCAGCAAAUUCCACUGUCGAAACAGCUCUUACUGUCAGGAAGUUCUUCCUAAUGUUUAGGUGGAAUCUUCUUUCUUGUAGUUUGGAUCCAUUGCUCCGUGUCUGCUUCUCUGGAGCAGCAGAAAACAACCUUUCUCCCUCCUCUAUGUGACAUCCUUUUAUAUAUUUGAACAUGGCUAUCAUAUCACCCCUUAACCUCCUCUUCUCCAGGCUAAACAUGCCCAGCUCCCUUAGACGUUCCUCAUAAGGCAUCGUUUCCAGGCCUUUGACCAUUUUGAUUGCCCUCCUCUGGACACGUUCCAGUUUGUCAGUGUCCUUCUUGAACUGUGGUGCCCAGAACUGGACACAGUACUCCAGGUGAGGUCUGACCAGAGCAGAAUACAGUGGCACUAUUACUUCCCUUGAUCUAGAUGCUAUACUCCUAUUGAUGCGGCCCAGAAUUGCAUUGGCUUUUUUAGCUGCCGCGUCACACUGUUGGCUCAUGUCAAGUUUGUGGUCAACCAACACUCCUAGACCCUUUUCACAUGUACUGCUCUCAAGCCAGGUGUCACCCAUCUUGUAUUUGUGCCUCUCAUUUUUUUUGCCCAAGUGCAAUACUUUACAAUUCUCCCUGUUAAAAUUCAUCUUGUUUGUUUUGGCCCAGUUCUCUAAUCUGUCAAGGUCGUUUUGAAGUGUGAUCCUGUCCUCUGGGGUGUUAGCCACCCCUCUCAGUUUGGUGUCAUCUGCAAAUUUGAUCAGGAUGCCCUUGAGUCCAUCAUCCAAGUCAUUGAUAAAGAUGUUGAAUAAGACCAGGCCCAAGACAGAACCCUGUGGCACCCCACUAGUCACUCUUCUCCAGGAUGAAGAGGAACCAUUGAUGAGCACCCUUUGGGUUCGGUCCAUCAGCCAGUUACAAAUCCACUGAGUGGUAGCAUAGUCAAGACCGCAUUUUACCAGCUUCUUUACAAGAAUAUCAUGGGGCACCUUGUCAAAUGCCUUGCUGAAAUCAAGGUAGGCUACAUCCACUGCGUUCCCUUCAUCUACCAGGCUUGUAAUUCUGUCAAAAAACAAGAUCAGGUUAGUCUGACAUGACUUAUUUUUCAGAAAUCCAUGCUGACUAUUGGUGAUCACAGCAUGCCUUUCUAGGUGCUCACAGACUGUUUGCUUAAUGAUCUGCUCCAGAAUCUUCCCUAGUAUUGAUGUCAGACUGACUGGGCAGUAAUUAUUUGGGUCCUCUCUUUUCCCCUUUUUGAAAAUAGGGACAACAUUUGCCCUCCUCCAGUCUGCCGGGACUUCGCCGGUUCUCCUGGAAUUCUCAAAGAUGACUGCCGGUGGUUCUGAGAUCACAUCUGCCAGUUCUUUUAAUACUCUUGGAUGCAGUUCAUCUGGCCCUGGGGACUUGAAUACAUCUAAACUAGCCAAGUAUUCUUGUACUAUCUCCUUAGUUAUUCUGGGCUGUGUUUCCUCUGCUGAAUCAUUUGCUCCAAAUUCUUCAGGUCGGGCAUUGUUUUCUUUAUCGGAGAAGACUGAGGCAAAGAAGGCAUUGAGGAGUUCAGCCCUUUCUGUGUCCCCUGUUUGCAUUUCACCAUCUUCUCCUCUGAGUGACCCCACUGUUUCUUUGUUCUUCCUUUUGCUACGAACAUACCCAUAAAAGCCUUUUUGUUGCUUUUAACCUCUCUAGCAAGCCUGAGUUCAUUCUGUGCUUUAGCUUUUCUGACUUUGUGUCUACACGUGCUGGCUAUUUGUUUGAAUUCCUCUUUGGUGGUUUCCCCCCUUUUCCAUUUUUUGUACACAUCCUUUUUUAAUCUUAACUCAGUUAAAAGUUCUUUAGAUAGCCACCCUGGCUUCUUUAGGCACCUUCCAUGUUUCCGUCUCAUUGGUAUUGCCUGAAGUUGUGCUUUUACUAUCUUCCUCUUAACAAACUCCCAGCCAUCAUGAACUCCCUUUCCUUUUAGUAUUACUGUCCAUGGGAUCUCACCCAGCACUUCCCUAAGUUUUAUGAAGUCGGCUUUCUUAAAGUCAAGAAAUUGAGUCCUAGUAUGCUUGGCUGCUCCUUUCCGCUGUAUAGUAAACUUCAGAAGAGCAUGAUCACUCGCGCCUAAUGAUCCUUCCACUUCUACCCCACUAACCAGGUCAUCAACAUUGGUUAGGACCAGAUCUAAAAUGGCUGUUCCUCUUGUUGCUUCUCCCACUUUCUGGACAAUGAAGUUGUCUGCAAGGCCAGUGAGGAAUCUGUUUGACCUUAUGCUCUUGGCUGAGUUUGACAUCCAACAAAUAUCCGGGUAAUUGAAGUCCCCCAUUACUACUAUCUCUCUUCCUUUUGCAUGCUUGGCCAUCUGUUCCAGGAAGGACUCAUCUAUGUCCUCCGUUUGGCUUGGGGAUCUAUAGUAAACUCCCACAAUGAGGUCACUGUUAUUCUUCUCUCCCUUAAUUUUGACCCAAAUGCUCUCACUUUGGCUUUGAGGUUCUAAAUCUUGGAUCUCUUCACAGGUAUACACAUCCCUGACAUAUAACGCCACUCCUCCUCCUUUCUUGUCUGGUCUGUUUCUCUGAAAUAGAUUGUAUCCCUCCAUUAUUACAUUCCAAUCGUGGGACUUAUCCCACCAGGUUUCAGUGAUGCCUAUUAUGUCAUAUUUAGUUUGCUGUACCAAGAGCUCAAGCUCAUCUUGUUUAUUUCCCAUGCUUUGCGCAUUGGUGUACAGACAUUGAAGUCCAUUUCCGCUGUAUAGUAAACAUAAAUUUAUGAUUUUUGUAAGCAUAACAUACAAAAGAAGUCACUAACACUGAAUCAGAUUCUCUAACAGAAACAUUUGUGAAACACAAAUGUUUUCAGCAGGAAACAAAAUAUCAAAAUUGUAGAUGCCUGCCUGGUUACAGUGGGAACAGUGUUCCAAAAUCCUGGUGUCACACAGUUCACAUAGAAACUAAACAAUCAGGAGUUAAUGGUGAGACAGGCAGGAGGGCUUAUCCAGAUGAUCACUGUGAUCUAGGUAGUAAUUCAGGUAAUCUGGUCUAAGGCUGUUUGAAACUUUAUUCACUGGAAGUUAUUCAAAUAGAUUUUAUUCUUCCAUUGUGCUCAUUCUACAUAUCACUAUAAAAAAACUACAUUUCAAAACAAGACAAAAUCAAUGCACACUGAUGCACACAGAAGCUAUAUGAAGACAUUAUAAGGCUGCAAACCUGUGCCCACAUUUUCUGGGAUAGGCCCCAUUGAAAACAGGUCUUAUUAUUUAUAAACUUCUGGUCCUACACAUCCAAAGGAUUUCACUUUGAGUGUGCAGAGCUAUCAAUGGUAAUAUUUUUAAUUAAAUUUUAACUCAAGCAUCUAUUGGUUUCUCCAAAGGAAACCUAUAUAUUGCCCAAUAUAAUACCUUACUGUAAAAAAAAUACGACAAACAUGAUAUAUAAAGAAGACGAAAGAUUGUCUCUAGGGAACUCAAAACUUUCUUAAAUGAAAAUCAAUUUAUAGUGUUGAUUUAAAUUGAAAGUCAGGAAGGAAUGCAUCAUAUUUCAAAGUAUGAAGGUACAUAGAACAUCCAGUGGGUGCUUUUGGUGCACUUUGAGCCAAGAGGAAUAAGUUUGUUUGUGCCAUUAUCUCAUACAUGAUACAUAUUUCAGUGCGUCCUUGCCUCCUAACAGAAGUGUCCCUGUUCAGGCUCUGGAGCUUGAGAUGCAGGGCAUUCUAUUUCCCUUCAUCUUUAUUCCUUCUUCAACAGUCCAGUGAGGAGGAAUUAGCAUGCUCAGUCCUCAUUGGGUUGUUUUGGGGUUCUUCCCACCCCCUAUAUAGGAUUGUGUGCUUUUAGUGGUUGAAAAUUGGUGGUUUUGAAAAUUGCUUUGUAUGUAUGCAAACCUGAAGAAUUCCCUGAAUGUGCUGGUGCCUUCCACUUGAUUCUCACUGUCCCUGUUUGGGCUCUAUUUCUGUAAGCACUAACUAUCUGAGCUUUCUAUUGACAAUCCUUCUUUAUGGAAAUAAUAUAUUGGCUUUCAAAGCUGGCAGAAUGCAAAAGGCUGAGGGGGUCGCCAAGAAAACGCUGGACUUAAAGUGUAUGGAAUUUUCAUUCUGAAACGGCUAAGCAUUAAAGGACAGGGUGGGGCAGUGUACAGAGAAAGAGUUCACCUAUUGGAUGAACACUGUUCUUGUCCUGAAUGCUGCACUGACAGCGUGUCCAAGUUCUGUACAACGAAAAAUGGUUAAGAUCCUUGAUGCUUCUUCAUCCAGAGCCAAUUCCUCCUCUGGUGUACUUGGAGCCUUGUUUUGUUAUGGUUUACAGAUGUUGAGGGUCAUCGAAUGUACACAUAUGAGGAACAUAGGAAGCUGAGUCAGACCUGUCUUCCCUGGCCCUACCUGGAGAUGCCAAGAAUUGAACAUGGGACUUCCUGUAUGCAAAGCAAGUGCUCUACCACUGAGCUACAGGCCCUUCCCCUAAUAUUAGAAGAGGGUGUGCGUGUGGGUGGGUGUGCAGUGAUACUGGUAUUGACAUUGCCUGUUUCUCAGUCCAAAACUGUUUUCUCAUGUUGGAGUGCUGGAGUCAGCAAAGACCAGGACUGGCUCUUGUCAGUAAGAAUGGAAGCUGCUGAUGGUGGAGAGGGUAGCUUUUCAUUCAUUUUUCUGUUCCAGUUCCAGGAUGGCACAGCUGAGGAGCCAAACAGCCAAGACUUCCAGCACUCUGUCUCUGCCCCAAACACCUCAAUUGGGAGCUUUCCAUUGGGGGGAUAGCCCACUGGCAAUUCUUUACUACCCUCUACUACAGUUAUCCCCCUCCAUCAUCACAAUUUCUCUCCAGGCCUGAGCUACAACUGCCCCCCUCCCAGCACUCACAAAGAAGUGCUCGUAGCAUUGCAACCUUGGACUAAAUUUCCAAGGCAAGCAAUUAAGGUUUUAAGUAAAUUUUCUGUGCCAUGCUGACAAAAAAAAAGUAAUCAGUAGGCACUUUAAGCAAAAGGAAUGCUUUGACUAGACAUUUUCCUUGUUUCUUAACAUUCUUAGUCCAAUUCAGCUGGACUAUUUCAGUUGGAUGAACGUAAGAUUAAUUUGGGUUGGGUGUAAGGAUAAAUCUCUGACACUUAUAGUUUCAGAAAACUAUUAAGUCUAGCUAUUCACUUAAUUAAAGAAUAAUGCUUUAAGGACUGGACUGCCAUCAACAGGGGACAGCCACAUGGGAAAGUUCAGAUUGUAUCUCUCACUCAGGCUAGGGUUUGUAUCUCCCCUUUCUAAUUGUUGCAAUAAAAGUAUUGCUACUCUAUUUUGCAGUCACCUCACAUAUUUGUAAAAGCCAAGGUGGAUGUUGGAUGGAAGAAUCUGACAAAACGUGUUAUUAGAAGUAGACCAGAUACAUAGAUGUCUGCUUCUGGGACAAGGCAGUUGCUGGUGGAGUGUAUCCAGGAUUUGGCAUGCGGGUGUUUAGAAGAGCAGCUCUCAAAUUCACCCCAACAAAUUAAGUAUAGAACUCUUUUAAGAAAGAAAAAAGUGAAUUCUAAUGCUCUUUUCCUCCAACUGCAGGAAGCACGGUCUCUUUUGUAUCCAUUGUAAAAUGACUAUUCAGGCUAUACAACUUUCCUUUCUGCCAAACACAAGGCCCUCAACAAAUGGUAUCAGGAUGCAGUGCGAGUCACCAGGAUCCUGACCCAGUUGGUUAGUCACUUGGGUGAAGCAGCACCCAUUUAAUUUAGGCUGAUUUUAGUCAUACGAGGAAACCGAUAAGGUACUGUAUGAAUUGAACCUAGGCCCAUUUUCAAGUUCCAGACUAGGCUAGUAAGGGCGAAUGGAUUUCUAAUACUAAAUUAUGAUCCCUCAAACUUCAUAUACCAAUCAAAGGCCAGAUUUCCCUGGCCUAAAUCCAUGGUAACUCCAACACUGACUUUCAAUAAAAGUUCCUCAGAAUUUAUAAUAAUGCAAAUGGCAAAAAGAUUUGGCCCUAAUGUAGCAAUUUAUUGGCCUCAAUUAGAGUUUCCCAGUUCAAUCUCCAACUAAUCUGCCUAAAGCUAAUUUAUAUUCAUAUGACGAGAACAUAUCCAAGAUUUGUUUCCAAUAUUCUUCUAACACUUGUGAGUGCCAAAGUAAAUUCAGACAAUUCCCAUGGCCCUUGCAAUCAUUUUUGAUUUGGGGGUCAGAAAGAAGAUGCUCAACAAGCUAUUUGGAAUGAGUGAAACACUGAAUCAUUCUUAUCUUGGCAAAGAAUGGGAUAGUACUUGCCUCCAGCCAGACCACAGCAGCCAUUUUAUGUACAAAUUCAAGAACCAUUUUUCCCCCACAACAUACUACGUUGGAAUUUUUCUAUUUGAAUUGUUACUGUAUGUGGGUCGGGGGGGAGGGAUUCCUCAGAUUAUCUGGAACCACACCAUGGUCCAAACAUGCUCUCUUUGUACACACCCAAUUCAUUUAGAUUCAGCAACGUUCUCAAUUACUUCAUCAUUCAACAUUUGUAUGACUCUGUUUCAGUGCACUCCCCAGUAUUCCAAAACUGAAAAUAGGGUUGAGUACUUUAUAUAUGAUCCUUGUUUUCAGAGCCAGGAUCACUACUUCAAUGCACUUACACUCUGUCACAUAUUGCUGAAGGAUUGUCACAGGAUCGUACAUGGUAUUCGCUAAUGCACAUGCCAGCUUUAGAACCGUUGCAGGUUCAGCUGAGCUGAUGUUUACCUCGGCCCUCUAAGAUAUUUAAUUGUUUUUCAAUAAAGUAAGAAUGAUAAAACAGUAUGCAAUGGAUCUACGCAUAGAAGAGUAGCAACUCAGAACACAUUCAGUAACAUUUGCUAUCGGGAUGGGCAGUUGUAUAGUGGAAUGGAAUGGAAGGAAGACAAGUCUAUACUCUUGUCCAUACGCAUACACACACAGGCUAACUUACCAUAAAUAAAUAAAUAGAACACACAUCCCGAGCUCCUCAUAAGACAAAAAGAAGGAUGGUAAUUUACCAGAGACAGGUGUUGGGAAAAAUGGACUGUGUCUAACAGAAACAGUUGGAAUAUAUAUUCUUAUUAUUUUAUAGUGUUUUGUUUUGUUGGGGUUCAGGAAGUAAGCAAUGCAUAGCCAGGCCUUCAAAUGCAACCUUUCUUUCCCAGCAGUUAGAACAAGGAGAGAACUAUAGGAGCCCAAGCAAACCAAAAACACACUAACUUACUCUAUUAGCUGACACAACAGUAUGCUUGCCUAGUUUACAUACCUAACGUGUAUAUUCUCCAUUUUUGAGCAACUACAUCACAAGAGUUCUUAUUAGUAUUUGAAAUAAUAAUUAGAAAUAUUAAGAUCUAGAAUUCUGUGAAAUCAAUCAAAUAAUAGCAAAUAAAUUAGGAACUGGCUCAUUCACUUCUUGUGAAGCUUCUACGUAAAACUGGUUUGUUGUUUUUAAGGAAACAGCAUGCUAGGUCUGCUGAAAACUUAAGAUGUUUCUUACACCUGUGAAUUUCUGCUUGUGUCUUCCUACUCCUCUGACUCCCAUCUUAUUAGCUGGAGUUGAGAUGUAGGUUUGGAGCUGCACUGUGAUGUUUUAUCUCCUUCUGACUCAUGCGUCGCUCUGCCCCCUCAGCUUGCACUCACAUAGGUGCAACAUCAAAAGCAGGCCUGAACCUCUGUCUGUUACCAUACUGUGUUAAAGGAUGUGUGGUCAUUCUGCUUUUGCUCAUGCUGUGUUACUAGUAUUUCAAAAUUGUCCAUAAUGGGGAAGUCACUCCCCCCCCCAUCACUGCUUGUGCUAAUAGAACAACUGCCAUAGUGCCUGUGGCGCGACUUGAACUCGUGGAGAGACUUAGAAUCUGGCAAAACAUGGGCAUGCCUGGGAGGAGCUGGAAUAGCAUACGGCUCAGAAGCCAUGCAGCAGUUUCCAAUACUGUGUGAUUUAUCUGAACAGUUGCUGCUGGACCAAAUUCUGCUUAAACAAAGCUGUAAAUACAAGAAAGCUGUUGUACUAUUAAGGUCGGUCACUGAAUAGUAAUUACUGAAGGGCCACUGGGUAAAUUAGUAGCUCAGCUGAGCCCACUCUGCUGGAUUCAACUGGUUAGGUUGUACUAGAGAGGCAGGGCUACUUAGUGAAUGAAUAUAGUGGUCCUCAUAAAUAUCCUUGAAAUAUACUUGGAGUCAAGAGUGGAUUUCAUGCUCUUUAUUCAGCUCAUAGGGGUGAGGAGGAACGGAGUUCCCCCAGAAUGUCUGCCUUAUAUGUAUUAUUUACACAACGGGCCCCAUGUGAUUGGCUAAUUCCAGGAUUCUCCUGUAGGCCAAUCAGGUUGCGGAUUCCCUUCCACCUGGAGCUGGAUUGGGUGGAUCCUGUGGGCCAAUCAGACUGCUGCAUUCUGGAUCCUAUUCAACUCAGUACAUAACACCCCUAAAUCUGUAAAACUGAAUCCAUUCAUGGUAAUCUAGUUCAGUUGUAUCUAAAGAUUCAUCAUUUGAUCUAUAACCUUACCUUUCAAAGGGCUCAUGGUUGGUAAAUUGUGAAGAAGGGAACCCUUGCAAGGAUCUUAAAUCCCUGGGCCUUCAUCCUGUUGUUCAAGGUUGUUUGUUGCCACCAGCUUGUCACUUAACAAUUCUGCAGGCUAAUGCUAUGGAUUGGCACACAGUUGGGAUGAGUAAAUCCCAUUACUUCACCAAAUUGUGCCCAGGAACAUUGCUAAGGCAGAUGUGGUUGUCCUUGCAUACAUUUUCAAGUCCAAUGCAGAAAACCAGCAACCCCCAAAACAUAAACAUAGGGCUAGAUUUAUAGAAGUCAAUGGAUUUUUCCACAUGAAGUGAUUUCAGGAUUGCAGAAAUAGUAGUCUUGUUAAUAUGAAGAUACUCUUGUAUGCCUAAGUAAUCUAAGUUUGUAUGGAGACAGAUAUGUAAAUACAUAUGUUUGUGCUCUGGAGACACACAUACACAAACACACAUACAUACAUAUUGUUAAGUAAAUUGAAACACUGCUGGUUUAGAGAGAUUAACAGAUGGCUUGAAUGUCUUUUGAUUGUGCCCAUAUUGGGGGCAGGGGAAACCCACUCACGCUGAAGUUAUUGGAUAUCUCCAGUGCAGAAGCUUCAAUGGCAGCUGAAUCAAGUCUUGGAGUUGAUGUGCCAGGAAUUGCCCUCUCCUACAAACUGGAGCCCCUUUGAAAAUCAUAAUGAGCUCCAGACAUGGAGGAAAAAAUCCUGAAAAAUCAUGAUCUUUGAGCUGAGUGAGGCUGCUUUCAGAUAUUUACCCACUAAUUCAUACAUGUCAAAUUAUUUUGGUGGGUAUUUCCUUAUUCCAGGUUUUCUCCAUAGAGGAAAUAUGUAUUAUUAUUUGUCAUCAUUAGAUAAUUUCCUUAACUGGAUGCCAAGAACACAUUUUAAUCUGGGAUGUAUUGCUUGUUAAUUAAUUAAUUUUAUAAUGAAUGAAUUUAGAGUGUUGUUUGUGCUGUACUGUUUUAUUGCUGUUAGCCGUCCUGAGCCCGGCUUCGGCUGGGGAGGGCGGGAUAUAAAUAAAUUAUUAUUAUUAUUAUUAUUAUUAUUAUUAUUAUUAUUGUGAAUGUGAAAGUGGAACAGGAAGAUAAAGAGAAUCAUUUUCUUGUUGGAUGUAAAUUCUAGUUAAUGUUGAUUUUACAUCUCAGUUGUAGACACAUGACAUACAAUUAAUUAAUUAAUCAAUUAAUUAAUUACCAAUGGAUAAGGCCUCCUUGAACAGAUCAUUUGUUGAUGGAAACACAAAAACAGAGCAAUUGGUUUGAGGUUUAUGUAGCUUAUCUUCAGGCAAAAAUUAUCAACAUGAAGAAUAAAGUAAACAGUAAGAAAAAAUAAGUCUUGUGUGGUCUUAGAAGUCCUCCUUAUUCAUAAGAAGUGGGUAUAGGAUUGGAAUACUUGCAUAUUAGUGUGCUGUCAAUUUAAUUAAUUGACAGCACAAUGGUUCUUUUAAAGAUAGGGCUAUUUUUUCAUCUUCAUUUUAGGUUGGAUAAAGGUAGUUUACUACAUUAAUGCUGUUUUGUUGAUUGAGAAAAAUAUAGUCAAAUUCUUGCAUUUUCAUUUUGAAGUAUCAAAAUAGUAAUACUAUCUUGAUUUUCAAGGAUUAAAUCCUCCAAGCCCCAGUGUUGGGCAAGCAAGAUCUAUUUGUUUCAGCUGGAAUUGUCCUUAUUUUUGGGUAAUCCUAUUGCAAUGAAGGGCACAUAUGCCACAAAAGUGUUUGGCGAUCUGUAUUAAUGAAUUGCACACAUACUAGGUGGUGUAUGAUUUAAAGUGCCACUUCUACUGUUUGGUCUGUGGAACCAAACUGAAGUACAGUGAGUCCAUGGUUUUACAAUUAAAAAUGCUUAUUUUAUUGAAUAGCUUUAAGGAAUAACAUCGUUGCUUUAAGAGGCAAUGACAAGGUAUGGUCUUGGACAUACUUAGGCUGCAGAAAAAGACCUGAGAGGCUGUAAAGGGGAGACAAACACUGAUGUAUUAUUUUGUUCCUUGUAUUCACUAGAUCAGUUGAAGAAAGAUCAACCUUGAAAAGAAAUGCAAUAUUUUAAAUAUUAUGCCUUCACUUUAACACAGCAGAACUACUUCUCCAACAAUGGUGUCUGCUGUGACAUCACAUCCAUUAAAUAAAAACAAAGUAUGUUUUUUCUUCUUCUUCAGUGCUUUUGCCUUUAUACAGAUACACAGUUUUAAUUCAAUAAUACAUUUAAAUGAAAUAGGUAAGAUUAGUCAACUAUGAUUUAGUCUGGUGACAUUCCUGUUUUCUGUACAAUGUCAUACCAGCCUCUCUAUACCCUGACACGCAUUAGCAGGCUUUAUUAUUCUAUUCUGUGUUAUGGACUGCCAUUCCAUGGUCAUACUGUUCCAGAAAAUGUAAUUCCGUUUCUGUGCCUAACGUUAAGAAGUUAAGAUUAUGCCACCAACAUCUCACUCCUAGCAGCACUUUUAUCCCAGAAUAAUCCCUGUAAUACACAGUACCAAUCAUUCAAAGUUUUGGAGCUCAGCUUGAAUCUCGUUUUUUCAGGUCCUGAGCAAGGCAGACAGAAAGGAGUAUGCAGCAACCAUAAUAUGGUACAAAUGCUACUAUCAUUAAAACUUGUGGACUUGCAUAUUUUGGGGAAUUAUAAUAUACUAAAACUAGUUUUUCUCUGAAUUUACCAUUCUUAAUUGCUGUUAUUCCAUUUGUGGAAUUAUUGUGGCACUAUAAUUCUGCUUCAGAACAGUACAGUACAUUAAUUCCACUUUUUCCCUGUAUGCUGAGAAUCAUCGUUCUGUUUUGUGCUGUUUUCCUACUUUGGGGAUCUUUUACUUCAUUGUUCUUGUGGUCAUUCCACUAUGGUCACUGCAUAAACCUAAAUCGUGGCCAUUCCCUAUGAGUCCUCUUUGGUGUUUCUCCACCUUUCAAUUCAGGUUUGGCUCUCAUUUUCACUGUAGUUUCUCAGGCCAUCAUGACCCAUAGAAAUGUAAUUUUUAAUCUAUGGGCAAUUGAGUAAGAGUUUCUUUGGCACUGAAGGAGAUAAUUAAUUAAUUAAUUAAUUAAUUAAUGAGAUCGUUUUCCUUGGGGUAGAUGCACUGAAAUUAAAGGAUCUAACUUAUGUCAUGUCAAUUUCAGUGGAUCCACUCCGAGUAAAAUUUAGCAGAAUACCGCCAAGCUCUAUUGUGGCAGAAAAGAGGUCAUGGUUUUAACAUACUGAAUAAUGAGUGUUAAAACAAAUCGGUUCACACACAAUGUAGACCAGUAGAAAUCAAUGGUCUUUUAAGACCAUUAGUUUCAGUGGACCUAUUCCCAGCAUGACUAGCUUUAACUAUCACCCAUUGACUUCAACCACCAGGGUUGAUUUUGUGCGAAUCAAAGCUCAAAACUGUGUGAUUCCUGUGCUAGCACUAUUAGCAUUCUGUGCUUGCUAAAUUUCAAGUUAUUUCGAAACUACCGACAUGUUCUGCCUUUUGUACACCUGUCAUUUCCAACGUUCUCCGUUUUGCUGUUCUGGGAUGUCGGCUGUGUAGUAAGCCGCUUUGGGCACACAGCUGGUCGCGGGAUAGCGGCAUAUAAGUACAAAACCGAUCGGCUGGAAAGGACCAGGCACCCAUCGGGAGGCUUCCAGCGUCUGCCCCACCGUCCGACGGCGGUGUUAAGAAAAAGACCCCCCCUCUGGGGUCUCUCAGUCCUGGGGGGAGCGCUGACUUUAAAC
Non-coding RNA from Podarcis lilfordi (Lilford's wall lizard), 16338 nucleotides. The record is from the annotation of a GenBank genome assembly. NCBI's taxonomy places the organism in Eukaryota, Metazoa, Chordata, Lepidosauria, Squamata, Lacertidae.